Molecule: unclassified non-coding RNA, 30 nt
Filed under: Arabidopsis thaliana (thale cress)
Lineage: Eukaryota; Viridiplantae; Streptophyta; Magnoliopsida; Brassicales; Brassicaceae
Description: partial miscellaneous RNA
Source: RNAcentral
CAGAAGAGCGGAUCCAAUACCAAGACUACU